AGCAGCCGCGGUAAUUCCAGCUCCAAUAGCGUAUAUUAAAGUUGUUGCAGUUAAAAAGCUCGUAGUUGAAUUUCGGGAUUAGUACGCUGGUCAUGCCUUUGGUAUGUACUGGUGUUACUGAUUUCUACCUUCUGAAGAACCGUUAUGUCAUUUAUUUGGUGUGGCGGGGAAUCAGGACUGUUACUUUGAAAAAAUUAGAGUGUUUAAAGCAGGCUCGCGCUUGAAUACAUUAGCAUGGAAUAAUGAAAUAGGACGUUUGACCCUAUUUUGUUGGUUUCUAGGAUCGACGUAAUGAUUAAUAGGGAUAGUUGGGGGCAUUAGUAUUCAAUUGUCAGAGGUGAAAUUCUUGGAUUUAUUGAAGACUAACUACUGCGAAAGCAUUUGCCAAGGAUGUUUUCAUUAAUCAAGAACGAAAGUUAGGGGAUCGAAGACGAUCAGAUACCGUCGUAGUCUUAACCAUAAACUAUGCCGACUAGGGAUCGGAUGAUGUUAUUUUAAUGACUCAUUCGGCGCCUUACGG
Molecule: ribosomal RNA, 520 nt
Filed under: uncultured Glomeromycotina
Lineage: Eukaryota; Fungi; Glomeromycota
Description: SSU rRNA
Rfam family: Eukaryotic small subunit ribosomal RNA
Source: RNAcentral